Molecule: unclassified non-coding RNA, 228 nt
Filed under: uncultured fungus
Lineage: Eukaryota; Fungi
Description: sequence contains ITS1, 5.8S rRNA gene
Rfam family: 5.8S ribosomal RNA (bases 180-228)
Source: RNAcentral
UCUCCGUAGGUGAACCUGCGGAGGGAUCAUUACUGAGUGAUGGCCCUCGUGGUCCGACCUCAACCCCUUUGUGAACACAACUUGUUGCUUCGGGGGCGACCCUGCCGUUUCGACGGCGAGCGCCCCCGGAGGCCUUCAAACACUGCAUCUUUGCGUCGGAGUUUAAGUAAAUUAAACAAAACUUUCAACAACGGAUCUCUUGGUUCUGGCAUCGAUGAAGAACGCAGC